Molecule: long non-coding RNA, 1735 nt
Organism: Esox lucius (northern pike)
Lineage: Eukaryota; Metazoa; Chordata; Actinopteri; Esociformes; Esocidae
Source: Ensembl
GUGGGAGACGUUUUAUAUGCGUUACUAAUCUAUUUCUAAUGGAUUUUCUUCUCGACACAGAAAUCAAGAGAUAACAAUUUAUUGUCUGCGGAUCGUUGACGUGGAGUUUAGAAAAGAGAUCCUAUCCUACCGGCGUUGCUCUACCAGCCGGCCAUCAAGUGGCUCGAUAGGGAAAUGCAGGUGUGUGUGCGUGUGUGGAAAGCAUCUUAUCUGGGAUGCUGUCUACCCCAUGCCCCCUCCUUUCGUUCUCCUCUCUCGCUACGCUCCUCCGAGCCGCUCGCUCUCCAGCUAUUGCUGCCAGGAGCAGUGUGUAGUACAAUUUGACAGCAGCAGCGCUGGCUUUCUAAAGAAAGCUUAUCUCUCACUUUUCUGUAUGUCUCAUUACUGCUCUCAUUGUCUCUUUCAACAACGAGAAACGGAGCAGUACACUUGGGGCCUGUAUUUGGAAUAAGAAAGCCUUGCUGUUUUCUGACUGGAGAGAAGGAAGAUAAGACUCCUCUGGAUUUCCUAAGGAAUUUUGUCUGGACGCUUUGUUACCGUGGCUAUUGAAUUCAUCAGCUGGGGUAUAUAUGUGCACCAGGGCCUCCCGCUCUUUCUAUUCUGGUUAGAGCCAGUUUGCAGUAUUCUGUGAAGGGAGUCGUACCAUCCAUCAACUGACAGCCCAGAUCAAUGUGUGUUGCCGUUUCCUGCCAUGUGCCCCAGGGGUCAGUGUUUGGUCCUCUUCUCAUAUACUUCGUAACCCAAGGGUGAAAGGGUGCGACAUCACGAAGUGAACUCCCACUACGUUGCUGACGACGCGCCCGGCUCGACUUCCCCACCAAACCGACCGCUCCACCUUCCUCUCGCAUCCGUCAUCCACUCAACCAGAACUCAGACGGGUCCAGAACACUCCAGACAGAACCCUGUCCGGUACCACGUCAACUGAACCUCAAAACACUCCUAAUCAGUCUACUUGCUCAUUGAGCCGCUGUGUCCUAUUGACAUUCAAACACAAAGCCCUCUGUAUCUCGGCUCCCAUCCGUCUCUCAGACCUUCUCCUAAUCCCCUCCCUCCCCUGAUGUUCUCAGUCAUGUUAAAAUCAAAAUGCAAAUAAUGUUUCAAAAAUGUCCCAAAACCAAGGAAAAAAAAAAAUGAUUUAAUGAAAAGGGGUGUUUAAUUUGGUGGAAAUAUCAGUGCCAGGCGUUGUCGGAGAGGCUCUUUUUUAAUUAACUUCUUUACCCUUUGUUUAUUUAGAUCCCCAUUUAAUGUGGGCUGAAGGAACACUUCUUUGAAUGGAUGUGCUUUGCAGAAGCUGCAGGAACCUUUCACAUUUCCCCCUAAGUGAAAAUGAAUACAUUAUUUUUAACACCUUGUUAAUUUUUUUUACUAUAGAUUUACAUUUUCUCCCUCAUUAUCACGGUACAGACGCGCUCUCUCUCUCUCUCUCUCUUUUUUACAGCUCAGAGGGUGAGAGAUUUCAUUUUAGUCGCUGCUUAAUUAUGUAGGUGUUGAAAUGUAAUUAAUGAAAGGGUAGGCUGACUUCAUUAUUCCAACACAUUUUAGACUCACAGGAUAAAAGAAAGAGAUCUCAUUUAGGGAAGCCAUGUUCUGAGAAAUUAUUUUUCUUCGCCCCUCUCCUCACCUGUCCCGCCAGUCACCCAAAACUGUGUGACAAAUACUGGCUGACAGAAAUUGGGAGAGGAAAAAAAAUGGUGUGAAAUAAAUAAAACAGGUAAUUUUAUUGUAUUGUUGUAAC